This is a non-coding RNA of Strongylocentrotus purpuratus (purple sea urchin), 73 nucleotides long. The record is from Rfam. Lineage: Eukaryota; Metazoa; Echinodermata; Echinoidea; Camarodonta; Strongylocentrotidae.
GGUCCGCUAGCUCAAUCGGCAGAGCGUCGUGCUAAUAACGCGAAGGUCGUGAGUUCGAUCCUCACGUGGACCA